RNAcentral lists this unclassified non-coding RNA (200 nucleotides) under soil metagenome. Its description in RNAcentral is "partial contains internal transcribed spacer 2 and large subunit ribosomal RNA". The record is from RNAcentral.
AUGUAGUUUCAAUCCCCCGGGUUUCCGGGAAGAUUGGAUUUGGGUGUUGCCGUCCGGCUCGCCUUAAAUGAAUUAGUGGCAAGACUAAUGUAGUCGAGAGUAAUAAGUUUCUCUUGAUCAAUUUGGUCUCCGCUUAUAAUCCGUGGAAACACAUUUAUGACUCUGACCUCAAAUCAGGUAGGACUACCCGCUGAACUUAA